Molecule: non-coding RNA, 297 nt
Organism: Vicia faba (fava bean)
Lineage: Eukaryota; Viridiplantae; Streptophyta; Magnoliopsida; Fabales; Fabaceae
Source: the annotation of a GenBank genome assembly
AUGAUGAAGAUGAGGUUAAAACGAAGGUUGAAGAUGGAAGAAAAAAUGAGAAGAAGUGAAGGUGAAAAUCAGAGUUCUUCCCCAAAAAAAUUGGAGAGUUCCCAGCUGGAAGUUUGUUGGAAUCUGUUAGAAGCGGUUAGGAAGUUUGUUUGGAAUUAUGGAAUUCUGUUUGGCAGUUGUACUGUUUACAGGUUGAGUUCCAAGUGGCCAGUAGGAUUUGUGUUGAAGCAGUGUGAAGAUUAUGGUGAAGAGGUAAGGUCAAACUGUGGGAUUUCGUGGAAGACAUAUGAAGAUUAG